GAUUAUACUUAGCGGUCAGAGUAACCUAGCCAUUGUGCCCCCGUUCCGCCACAGAUUCUUUGUUGUAAUAUGUGCUAAUCUUUCUUCUUCAAAAAUAUUAUGGAGAGGGCACGAUAGGCACUGCAAACGGUCGACUGAAAAACUAUGUCGGAGAGAUUGGAAACCUGCGAACUAACUCUGCCCCUGGGCAAAAUUAAGGGCGUUAAACGCCUCAGUCUCUACGAUGACACCUACUUUAGCUUCGAGAAGAUUCCCUUUGCGAAGCCUCCACUGGGCGAACUGAGAUUCAAGGCCC
Molecule: non-coding RNA, 295 nt
Organism: Drosophila takahashii
Lineage: Eukaryota; Metazoa; Arthropoda; Insecta; Diptera; Drosophilidae
Source: RefSeq, a predicted model, not a curated record